AAUCAACGCUGGCGGCGUGCCUAACACAUGCAAGUCGAACGAGAAAGUGGAGCAAUCCACGAGUAAAGUGGCGACCGGGUGAGUAACACGUGACUAACCUACCUUCGAGUGGGGAAUAACCUCGGGAAACCGGGGCUAAUACCGCAUAACAUCGCGAGGUGAGAUUCCUUGUGAUCAAAGGAGCGAAACGCUUGAAGAGGGGGUCGCGGCUGAUUAGCUAGUUGGUGAGGUAACGGCNCACCAAGGCGAUGAUCAGUAUCCGGCCUGAGAGGGCGCACGGACACACUGGAACUGAAACACGGUCCAGACUCCUACGGGAGGCAGCAGUGGGGAAUUUUGCGCAAUGGGGGAAACCCUGACGCAGCAACGCCGCGUGGAGGAUGAAGUCUUUGGAUUGUAAACUCUUCGAUCGGGACGAUUAUGACGGUACCGGAAGAAGAGCACCGGCUAACUCUGU
RNAcentral lists this ribosomal RNA (457 nucleotides) under uncultured bacterium. RNAcentral's name for it is "bacterial SSU rRNA". It matches the Rfam family "Bacterial small subunit ribosomal RNA", at positions 32 to 506 of the family's 1533-position model. The record is from RNAcentral.